GGAAGUAAAAGUCGUAACAAGGUCUCCGUUGGUGAACCAGCGGAGGGAUCAUUACAGGAUUCGCAAGAACUCCCGUAACCACUGUGAACUUUACCUUUUGUUGCCUCGGCGGGUGCUGGGUCUUCCCAGCGCUCCAGCCCGCCGACGGCCCACAACUCAUUGUCUGAUUCUAUGCAUCUCCGAGCUAUACACAAACGAAUCAAAACUUUCAACAACGGAUCUCUUGGUUCUGGCAUCGAUGAAGAACGCAGCGAAAUGCGAUAAGUAAUGUGAAUUGCAGAAUUCAGUGAAUCAUCGAAUCUUUGAACGCACAUUGCGCCCGCCGGUAUUCCGGCGGGCAUGCCUGUUCGAGCGUCAUUUCAACCCUCAGGCCUCGCCUGGUGUUGGGGCUCCUGCGCACUGCAGGCCCUCAAAGGCAGCGGCGGGUGCGCCUACGAACCGAACGCAGUAGUUUUCUCUCGUUCUGGUCUUGCGGGCGUGCUCCGGCCGUUAAACCCCCCUUUAUAUCCAAUGGUUGACCUCGGAUCAGGUAGGAAUACCCGCUGAACUUAAGCAUAUCA
RNAcentral lists this ribosomal RNA (560 nucleotides) under uncultured fungus. RNAcentral describes it as "eukaryotic LSU rRNA". The stretch from base 204 to 357 matches the Rfam family "5.8S ribosomal RNA". The record is from RNAcentral. Lineage: Eukaryota; Fungi.